AGAGCCCAGGGAGGCCCUUGAGAUGGGGGUCCAUUUGGCCACCCGUGAGAUCUGCCCUUAAGGCCACACACACACGGCCUCCGCGGGACCCACUGAAGCCUGUUCUCCCACUUUUUCUUCUUCUGUCCUCACUUCCUAUAAGAGACUCCAUGUUUAAGUUCAUCCUAUCCUGCCUUCAGGCUUCACAAGAACUGGCCCUCUUAUUGCCACAAGUGGAAGAGAUGUUAUUUGCCAGAAGCUCUCUUAGGGAAAGCACAGUUAUGCAUGUGGAAACACAUGUCCAUAAGCUGCUUGGCCCAAGAGUGAAAUCCCAAGGGCACAAUCAACUGCAGAAGCGGAUUUCAAAACUGAUAUAAGACCACAGCUCUCGGCACAGAGCCCUCACCUGAGGGAGCCACAAGGCCGGGAGGCUGGGGAACCAUGCAAAGCUGGACUGGCAGGAACCUGGACGCCCCACAGGAGCAGCCUCAGGCAGCAGCAGCGCCCUCUGUGGAAUCUAUCUUAAGAAAAUAAUACACGAGGCAGCAGGAUGUAUACACCAGAACAUGCUGGGCUAUUUCUGCUAUGUCUCGCUUGGAAGCGACGAGUCAUGGAACGAAGCUAGCCCCCUUUGACAAGCUGCGGCUCGUGGUGUGAGGUGGCCUGCCGAGCGACCGCUAGAAGUAUGUACGCAAAGAUUCUGAAAAUCCUGGGGAACAUGAACAUGAUACAGUAUCACAUAAAAAAGCAGAUGAGUAAACCGUAAAAUUGACAUGGUCCCAGUUUCAUUUUUUAAAAUGAG
RNAcentral lists this long non-coding RNA (781 nucleotides) under Equus asinus (donkey). RNAcentral describes it as "lncRNA (ENSEASG00005031548.1)". Lineage: Eukaryota; Metazoa; Chordata; Mammalia; Perissodactyla; Equidae. The record is from RNAcentral.